This is a long non-coding RNA of Chenopodium quinoa (quinoa), 654 nucleotides long. RefSeq lists it as uncharacterized. Lineage: Eukaryota; Viridiplantae; Streptophyta; Magnoliopsida; Caryophyllales; Amaranthaceae. The record is from RefSeq and is a predicted model, not a curated record. The transcript is spliced from 3 exons.
CUUUGAUUCUUUGAGGCAGAAGCGAAAUUUAGCAAUUAAGUUUGCAAUGACAAAUGCUUUUCGAAGUUUCAAGGCAUUAAGUGGACAAUCUAGGGGAAGUAAAUUGACAUGGCAUUUGGGACAGUGUCCUCAACGAUUGGGUGGACGUGAGUGUGGCUACUACGUCAUGCGUUAUAUGUACGAAAUACUUUAACAUCACCAAAGCAGUGAGGAUCUUAUUCAGGUAUGAGUUGUCAAAUAUUUCAUUUUUUUUUUUAUAAAUACAAUUUGAUGUUAGCUACAAUCUUGAAUUAAAACUUUCCUCUUGUAUAUUUGUUGUGUUGAUAGGAUUUUUCAAGAACUACACCGUACACUGAGGAGCAGAUAAAUAAGAUUCAAGAUAUUUGGGAAGAGUAUUUUAUAUAUAAUGUUGAACUUUAGAUUUACACUUAGCGCAUGUUGGACUCUUGUUUUGGAUUAUAGGCUUGACAUGAAUGAUUUUAGUUAAUUGGUGUUGGGAUGAUGAGUAUAAUGUCUAUGAUAUUGAGAUGUAAAUUAUUGGACAGGUUGUUAAUAUAAUGCCGUCAUUCCCAAUUUCAUGCGUAGGCCAAAAUACAAAGGAGACUGCCGAAAUUUACAUUUGCAUUAUUCAAUAAUAUUGCAUUUUAAUUUCAA